GGGGGGGGGGCGAGGCUGAGACCUGUGUGUGUGUGUGUGUGUGUGUGUGUGUGUGUGUGUGUGUGUGUGUGUGUGUGUGUGUGUGUGUGUGUGUGUGUGUGUGUGUGUGUGUGUCUGAUCCCAGACUCGGCCUCUUGAACAAGCAGGAUGUUGAAGUACUUCAACUAGUUUCAUCAAACUGAUCCCAGUUGGUGUUUUGCUUGUUGGACAUUGGAGGACCACUAAUUAACGCCCCCCCAAAUUGGGUUAUAGAUCAAACUUUUGUAACGAAGGGUUCCGUGUGGAACCAUUGCACGCUAGACGGGUUCCCCAUAGAAGAGUUCUUUUGGGGGGAACCGUGACAGAUUUUAGGAGAAAACUGAGCAUUUCCGGUGGAACCUUUUAAUAAGAUGUUCUACCAGAAAAGGGCUUUUUUAAAGGGACAGGAUGCAGAACCCUGUGAGGUUCUAGUUGGCAUGUUAAAGGAACUCUAACAUUUUUAGAAGAUAUUUAUUUGAUUAACAAACACCAGAAGAAGUAGAAACACUGAUCUUUGGGGUUAUUGAACAAAAGGAAUUUAUUUCUGUGUUUUUCGUGUCAUUCUUGUUUAUUCUGAAGUACAACUACGUUUGAUGUGGUAACUAAACUGUGUUACACUUAAAGAUCAGGGCUCAUUUUUAAACUCCAUUUAUCCGUUCUAGUUAUUCCGUAGAGAAAUCUCUACCAAUACGUGUAACGAGGGUCUGCACUGACUGAGGUUCUAGGCUGAUUUGUAGAACUUUUACAUUGAAACGUGGCAGAAGAACCCUGCAGGGGCAAAGAGAGGAACACAUUGGAGAGGUUCCAGCAAAGAGAGGAACACAUUGGAGAGGUUCCCGCAAAGAGAGGAACACAUUGGAGAGGUUCCCGCAAAGAGAGGAACACAUUGGAGAGGUUCCCGCAAAGAGAGGAACACAUUGGAGAGGUUCCCGCAAAGAGAGGAACACAUUGGAGAGGUUCCCGCAAAGAGAGGAACACAUUGGAGAGGUUCCCGCAAAGAGAGGAACACAUUGGAGAGGUUCCAGCAGUGGUUGUGAUGCUGCAGGAACAUCUGCUGGUUACUGUGAGGCGAUUCUGUUCAUCCAGAAUAUUUCAACAUUUUGCUUUCAAGCUGUUUGACGCCUUUCGCACUGAAGCAGAAGUUCCACGUUGUUGGAAACGCGCUGGUGUGUCUUCUCGCCGAGGGGGGGGGUCUCAUGUAACUACUGGCAACCGCUCUGCAAACGCUUCUCCUCAGCAGGUUGGAACAUUUGCACAAAUACUGGUGAAGGGAAAGUUACAGCGUGCGUCCUGGAUGAAAUGAGACUUGAAUUUAACGUGCGGUCAGAAUGAAGCCAGAAUGAAGCGGGGGGGGGUAGUAAAGUAUGAACUAGUUACGGCACUGUAAAUAUUUUGUGUCCAGGUUGCGUCGCUUGUUUGAAAUGCAGUUGAUCUGUUAUUUCGUUUCAGUUUCUUGCAUUGUGGCUCAACAGGGUGCGCUUGUUUCUGUUCGCACCCCGCUGUGGUGUUUAACCCGACAGAGGGAAGGAAUGUGUACAAACAUCUAACAUCCACGUUUGCUGACUAAUUAUUACGACGUUCAUCUCCAGUGUGGUUUAAGUGUUUUUACCAUGAAGGUCAAUAAAGAGUCUUUAUGUUGCCCUUCAAAACAAAACCAACAACGUUUAAUGUCAUGAUGAACAAGUUUACAACUAACGGAUGUUUUAUUAUUGUGAUAUGUUGAAAGUGUGACCUGUGUAUUGUUCCUGAUGACCUGCUGCUCUGACUCCUUCAACUGGAAGUAAAACAGACGUCUUUUAAACUUCAACGGCUCUUUUUUCCUGUUUGUGUUUGUUCAAUGGAUUCCUCAUUCUCAAUAUGGAUUCUGAUAUCUGGGUUAAUCCGCACCUUAUAAAGUCAUUUUAUUUAUUUACUGUGAAAGCACAGCGACCUGUCGCGGCUCCGCUUCCACAGGCUCCUUUUAGAGGGUCGGGGUAGUUCAUUCAGUAUGUGGGGUGACCAGCAGGGGGCAGCACCACAUCAGAGUCACCAGUAUAUGAGGUGACCAGCAGGGGGCAGUCACCAGUAUGUGAGGUGACCAGCAGGGGGCAGCACCACAUCAGAGUCACCAGUAUAUGAGGUGACCAGCAGGGGGCAGCACCACAUCAGAGUCACCAGUAUGUGAGGUGACCAGCAGGAGGCAGCACC
Molecule: long non-coding RNA, 2205 nt
Organism: Gasterosteus aculeatus aculeatus (three-spined stickleback)
Lineage: Eukaryota; Metazoa; Chordata; Actinopteri; Perciformes; Gasterosteidae
Source: Ensembl